CAUCCCAUGACAGUGAAGCUUCCUCCUCCCUUCCUCCUCUGCAAGACCAUCAGGGUGCGAUCCACAUGGGAAGGUGCAGGUGCAAAGAUGUGGUCUUUCCAGAAAGGACACCUGGGUCAUGCAGAGACUUCAGCUCAGAGAAGCCACUUCAGGAUUCUUUUGUUUGCAAAAUCAGUUGGGAAGUGUGGAAGGAAGUGUAGAAAAGGAAGAGGCAAGAGAAGCAUUGAAGAGGAGGAAACUGAGGCUGAGACAUGGCAUCACAUGGCUUCUCUGACCAACUGAAUUGUGUCAAGUUAGGUGCUAUGGGUAAGUCAGCUGGUUCCUUUAAACAGGCACUCCUGUCACCAUAAUGUGGUGGCUGUUAUCAAGCACAGUCAGGCAAACUUGCCUACAAGGCCUGCAGCUGCUGAGCAGUAGAGGAAGGAUCCUUUUUCAGGGAGCCCAUCUCUGGC
RNAcentral lists this long non-coding RNA (452 nucleotides) under Cricetulus griseus (Chinese hamster). Its description in RNAcentral is "lncRNA (ENSCGRG00000024403.1)". The record is from RNAcentral. Lineage: Eukaryota; Metazoa; Chordata; Mammalia; Rodentia; Cricetidae.